Molecule: long non-coding RNA, 5319 nt
Filed under: Haliotis rufescens (red abalone)
Lineage: Eukaryota; Metazoa; Mollusca; Gastropoda; Lepetellida; Haliotidae
Description: uncharacterized LOC125382682
Source: RNAcentral
GAAGUGGUAAACGUCUGAGACCUGCAUCACUUCGGGCUUUCCUCCCACAUUAAGCUGACACGCCGCGAUAUAACUGGAAUACUGUUAAAAGCGGCGUUAAACCCAACUCACCUACUCACUCACUAGGGUGGCAUGGGUGACCGGUCACCCAAGGUCUCCAAUUCACUGUGCAGAGAUUCAUCUCUUGGGCAUGCCAGAGACCUUGAUCUUGACUUUGAAUUCCAGUUUGCCCCAAUUUUGUUUCUAAGUUUGUCAGCACCGUGCUCGUGGGUUUCACCAGUGGUAAAUUUCUGAGACCUGCAUCACUACGGCUUUUCCUCCCACAUUAAACUAAUAUGCUGUCAUAACUGGAAAAGUGUUCAAAGUGGCGCUAAAGCCAACCCACUCAGUCACUCACUACUGUAUCUAUUAGAAGGUGAUAGAACUUUACCAAGUAAUGUCGGUUGUUUGGGAUGGGACAUUUUGUUUGUUUACUGAUCAGAUAUGAAUAUUGUGUAGUGAUUGUGAAUUUGUUUCUAUUCCUGCUUGUCUGCCGGUAUGUUUUUUGUAUUCACUCUUCAUCAGCUAUUGUCAGUUGGGAUGUUGUACAGCAUCGUAAGCUGUAGCAGGAUCACUCAGGGUACAUGGGGUUUAUGCAUCCAACGUUAGAUUUUAUACCACAAGCCUCUGGCUACACAGUAUUUUAUCAAGAUCAUAUGGAGCAAUCAGAUCUCAUCAUUCUGACAUGGGGGCGGUCGGGUAGCCUAGUGGUUAAAGCGUUAGCUCGUCACACCGAAGACCCGGGUUCGAUUCCCGACAUGGGUACAAUAUGUGAAGCCCAUUUCUGGUGUCCCCCGAUGUAAACAUUCUUUCAAUCCAACUUGCAAUCCAAACAAUCACUUUAGCCUCAGACAUCCUGGAUUCUGAGCCCGACAGAGGCCGACAUUUUACUACCAACCAAGAGAACAGAACCAACUUGGGUACGUGUUCCUGCAGUACAAGACAAAAUCUCACCAUUCACCUGUAAAUCCAUUCAAAUCCUCCGAUAACUUUAUUUGAUAACACCGAAUCCCCUGCACUUAAAACAUUAGACGUACAACCCGCAAUCAUCGAACUCAUAAACAGAUGCCUCAAUGAGACAGAACUCAGGCCUUCAUGAUGGGAUUUACCUUAUUUGCUCCCCCGUUUGUCUCUGUAGUAAAGGGGUAGAGGCGUAGCCCAGUGGUUAAAGUGUUUGCACAUCACACCUAAGGCCUGGGUUCGAUUUCCCACAUGGGUACAAUGUGUGAAGACCAUUUCUAGUGUCUAGUGAUAUUGCUAGAAUAUUGCUAAAAGGGGCGUAAAAAACAUUCUCACUCACUCACUCUAUAGUAAGGUGUGAAUUUGGUACAUUUGUUAUACAAGUGCAUCUAACCAAUAGAAUGCACAUUGAUUAAAUCAUUCAGAUAUUUUAACUACAGAAACAGAUCAGCAGAUAUCCUUCCUGUGUGUAAAUACAGGCACAUACUGUAUGUAUUUUGCACAAUCACUGAUUACACAUGGAACACAAUGACAAGAUAUAUACAUUUCUCACCUUUUGUGUUUUCAAUAUUUCUUGGACCCAGUAAAGCUUGUCAGCUUUUUUCCAUAUCGCUUUCUUUGUUGGAUUUUCAUGUCAUUAUUUGGAUUUUCUUUUUUAUUGUUUCUUUUGACUGUGAACAAUGUUUUUACUUUCCAUUCAUUAGGAAUCUGUCAUACACUUUCUAUACACUGUGUACAGUUUGGGAAACUUAUGAGCACAAUACAGUCAUACUUGUAUAGGGUAAACUUACAUUGCUGGCUUCAGUCCUCGUGUUUUAUCAGCAAAAUACAGUCAGGUGACAAAUAUUUGUAAAUAUUCAGUUUGAGAUGAGUUUAUGGUGUGUGAUCCAGUUGAUCAGUGCCUGAUCUAUCUUGUUUGGAGGCAGAGCAUUUUGAAAAAAAUUCAGUUUUCUAAUCCUGAGGGAGAGGGUAGGCUGUCCACCUGUCUUUCCCUACAUAGUUACAUCAGUUACUUCGAUAAAACUCAAAACUUGAUUUUAAAAUUGAAGUCCAAACUACCAAUAGCUUUGUCUGAGUCAACCUCUAUAUUCAACAAACUCACCAAGUGCCAGCCACAAGAAGGUUGCAGCUAGUUGUAACUUGGAAAAUGUGUUAAUGUCCUCGUGAACCUCAAAUGCAGCAACUCAAACAGGUUGCUUAAUGUGUUUGUUGGAUUUCAACCAUGGUUGCUUCAAGGCCAUCUUCCUGAGGCAAGGGAAUUACCUGACUAUAAAAGUCCACUUUCCUCCCUUGCUGACCUAGGCUGGAAUUAUAGAUUGAAGGAUUUGCAAAGCAUGUGUACCGUCAAUUUAGCAUAAACAUAUUCCAAAUCUUUUCAGGUUUUUUUAUCAAGGUGCUCAUGCAUUAUUAAGGUGCUCAUGUGAUUUGAUGCACUUUGUGAAGUAAGACUUGAGGUAUCUUGAGGACUUGAAGUAUCUUGAGUAUCGAUCAGAUCAUCUUCACUGCGCGUCGCCAUUUUGUUUGAAGCAAAUGCAAGUGAUAUGAGAGGUGGAAUCUGAUCGGUCAAUAGGAGGGACAUAGAAGGGUCAUAACUCGUAAUAGCCACUGGUGGCGCUACGAACGAGCUUAGGAAUUCCAGCCUAGUUCGGCAAGGGUGGAAACUGGACUUUAUGAAUUAUAGUCAGGUAACUCUCUUGCUCAGAAAGAUGUUUUAAGGCAAGCUUUCUUGCAAAUGUUGACUUUCAUUGAUGGGAAAACUUGGUUUAUGAAAUGACUUUUGAAAUAGGUUUAUGAAAUAUAACUCAAAAAGGAAACUUGAGAUCAGGCAGAGUUUGGUCAACACACACCUUAGGUUAUUGUGGCAUGCUAAAUGUGGGAGAUGGAGUGGCUUUUGAUAUUGGCAUGUAGUUUGUCUUUGCCUAAGCUUUAUGUACUCACCAACAAAAGAAACAGGAGUACCAUACAUGUUGGUUAAUAUAUGAAGAAUUUAGAUUUUAGAUUGGUUUGGUGCACAAACGAACAUACUGUUAUGUUGUGUGAACCAACACUCAUGAUCGCAUGGAACCAUAACUUGAAAUGCACCAUUUGUCUCGUGCAGAACUAGCGUGUAAAGUUUGAAAUCAUGUGCAGUAUAUGUGAUAAGAAUACAGACACAGUGGUAAUACUUGACAGAUUGUUAGUUGUGUCAUUAAGUGGUACACAUUGGAAACAUCUCUUAACGUAUAUACUUCUCUAUAUGUUUCUAGGGUUUGCGUUUCUUUUGGCGGCGAGUAUAUUAUCCCUGGAUACUUGUGCUUGUACUGAGGUUAAUAAAACAGUUCUCUUGUGAAGUAAUUAGCAUUUAUGCUCACUAAUUAAUCAACCUGUGAAGGUAUGGGGUAGAAUAGGUCUUCAGCAGCCCAUGCUUGCCAUAAAGGCGACUAUGCUUGUCGUAAGAUUAACGGGAUCGGGUGAUCAAGCUUGUUGACUUGGUCGAUUCAUGUUAUCGAUUUCAAUUGCGUGGAUCGAUGCUCAUGAUAUCAAUCACUGAAUUGUCUAGUCCAUACGAUUAUUUACAGACCGCCAUCAUAUAGCUGGAAUAAUGCUGAGUGCAGCGUAAAACAACAAUCAAACCAAACCAAACUGAUUAAUCUGAGCUCUCUGAUAUAUCUGAAGUAAUAAGGCAGCCUUAUGAAUCACUCAUGCUUAGCUUGUCUACAGUUUGAUAAAGCUCACUCCUUAUCUCAAGUUCUGUAUUAGACGAGUCAGUACUCACCCCAACCUCUGACUUGGGCAUAGCUAAAGCUGUGUUAAGUAACAGUGAUUCUCAGUGUGUUCUUUUCAUAUUUUCUUCAUCAGUUUUACAUCAGGAAGUAGUUUGAAGCCAACCUUAGAUUUGUUUCUUUUCUUGUGAUACGUGCUAAGACUGGAAUACUGAUAAAACCUACGUUAAACACAACUCAUUCUGUUGCUGUGGAUAUGAAGGUAAUACGUGCUAAGACUGGAAUACUGAUAAAACCUACGUUAAACACAACUCACUCUGUUGCUGUGGAUAUGAAGGUAAUACGUGCUAAGACUGGAAUACUGAUAAAACCUGCGUUAAACUCAACUCAUUCUGUUGCUGUGGAUAUGAAGGUAAUACGUGCUAAGACUGGAAUACUGAUAAAACCUGCGUUAAACACAACUCAUUCUGUUGCUGUGGAUAUGAAGGUAAUACGUGCUAAGACUGGAAUACUGAUAAAACCUGCGUUAAACACAACUCACUCUGUUGCUGUGGAUAUGAAGGUAAUACGUGAUAAGACUGGAAUACUGAUAAAACCUACGUUAAACACAACUCACUCUGUUGCUGUGGAUAUGAAGGUAAUACGUGCUAAGACUGGAAUACUGAUAAAACCUACGUUAAACACAACUCACUGUUGCUGUGGAUAUGAAGGUAAUACGUGCUAAGACUGGAAUACUGAUAAAACCUGCGUUAAACACAACUCGCUCCGUUGCUGUGGAUAUGAAGGUAAUACGUGCUAAGACUGGAAUACUGAUAAAACCUACGUUAAACACAACUCACUCCGUUGCUGUGGAUAUGAAGGUAAUACGUGCUAAGACUGGAAUACUGAUAAAACCUGCGUUAAACACAACUCACUCUGUUGCUGUGGAUAUGAAGGUAAUACGUGCUAAGACUGGAAUACUGAUAAAACCUACGUUAAACACAACUCACUGUUGCUGUGGAUAUGAAGGUAAUACGUGCUAAGACUGGAAUACUGAUAAAACCUGCGUUAAACACAACUCACUCUGUUGCUGUGGAUAUGAAGGUAACCAAGGUGUGAACCCAUUUCUGGUGUCCCCUGCCAUGAUAUUGCUGGAAUAUUGCUAAAAGCGGCCAAAAACCAUACUCUCUCAUGAAGGUAAAAGUCUCAACUCCUGUCCCAUAGUUCAUGUAUGUUUGUAUACAAGAAGAUAUAUCCGAGAACCUUGCAUGUGAUUGUCACCCAAGGAUCUUCAAGUAUCUAAUGAUCAGUUUUAUUUUGCCGUCUUAUCUUCUCUGGUCGUAUGUGUUGAAGUAAAGCAUAUCGUUUUGAGUUGUGGGUAUGUGUCUUGUGUAAGUCACGUGUGGUGUCUCCAGCUCACAUGUGCCCAGUAUCCCUGUUAUGUACUUGUCAUGUUGACUAUUCCAAAUAAAGGUAGAUAUAUUCCCAAGCUUGUGUCCAUUGAUCACAUGUUGAAUGGAACUGAAACAUAGUACAUGGGCACUGAGGAUAUGUAAUAGUGAUUUAUUUACAUCAAUAAAAAAGACGUUUGUGAACAAUUAACUUGGAAGCAGAAAUAAAACUGUGUGUACACAAUUUA